This 351-nucleotide unclassified non-coding RNA is filed under the name soil metagenome. RNAcentral describes it as "partial contains 5.8S ribosomal RNA, internal transcribed spacer 2, and large subunit ribosomal RNA". The stretch from base 1 to 120 matches the Rfam family "5.8S ribosomal RNA", at positions 35 to 154 of the family's 154-position model. The record is from RNAcentral.
GAUGAAGAACGUAGCGAAAUGCGAUAAGUAGUGUGAAUUGCAGAAUUCCGUGAAUCAUCGAAUCUUUGAACGCACAUUGCGCCUCCUGGUAAUCCAUGAGGCAUGCCUGUCCGAGCGUCAGUAAAAAGCAACUCGGCCGCGGCUGGCGGUUGGUGAUGGAGGAAGAGCACGUCUCGUUGUCGGUCUCCCCUCCCAAAAUCAACGGCGGAAUGUCACUGGCACUCGGUGUUGUAGUAUUAUUCGCCGAUCACCCAUUGUUGUUCCUGCCGCCCAAACCCCCACAAUUCUCUUGAUUGACCUCGGAUCAGGUAGGGAUACCCGCUGAACUUAAGCAUAUCAAUAAGCGGAGGA